Molecule: ribosomal RNA, 711 nt
Filed under: Candidatus Symbiopectobacterium sp. PLON1
Lineage: Bacteria; Pseudomonadati; Pseudomonadota; Gammaproteobacteria; Enterobacterales; Enterobacteriaceae
Description: Bacterial large subunit ribosomal RNA
Rfam family: Bacterial large subunit ribosomal RNA
Source: Rfam by way of RNAcentral
UAAAAAAAGCGUAAUAGCUCACUGGUCGAGUCGGCCUGCGCGGAAGAUGUAACGGGGCUAAACCAUGCACCGAAGCUGCGGCAGCGGACGUAUCACUUAAAACGCUUCACGCGACGGCGAGCCGGCGCGUGCAAGCCACAUUCCCGUUGAGUCGGCGACAGCCGGACACGGGCCAGGCGUUUUAAGGAUACGUCCGUUGGGUAGGGGAGCGUUCUGUAAGCCUGCGAAGGUGGCCUGUGAUGGCUGCUGGAGGUAUCAGAAGUGCGAAUGCUGACAUAAGUAACGAUAAAGCGGGUGAAAAGCCCGCUCGCCGGAAGACCAAGGGUUCCUGUUCAACGUUAAUCGGAGCAGGGUGAGUCGACCCCUAAGGCAAGGCCGAAAGGCGUAGUCGAUGGGAAACAGGUUAAUAUUCCUGUACUGGGUGUGACUGCGAAGGGGGGACGGAGAAAGCUAGGUUCGCCGGGCGACGGUUGUCCCGGUUCAAGCGUGCAGGUGGAAAGAGCAGGCAAAUCCGCUCUUUCAUAACACUGAGGCGUAAUGACGAGCCACCACGGUGGUGAAGGAAUUGAUGCUACGCUUCCAGGAAAAGCCUCUAAGCUCCAGGUCACAUCGAAUCGUACCCCAAACCGACACAGGUGGUCAGGUAGAGAAUACCCAGGCGCUUGAGAGAACUCGGGUGAAGGAACUAGGCAAAAUGGUGCCGUAACUUCG